AGUGAACGCUGGCGGUAGGCCUAACACAUGCAAGUCGAACGGCAGCACAGUAAGAGCUUGCUCUUACGGGUGGCGAGUGGCGGACGGGUGAGGAAUGCAACGGGCUCUACUUUUUCGUGGGGCUUAACGUAGGGAGACUUACGCUAAUACCGCAUACCCCCUACGGGUGAAAGCGGGGGAACUUCGGACCUUGCGCGGUUGAAUGCGCCGAUGUCGGGUUAGCUAGUUGGCGGGGUGAAUGCCCACCAAGUCGCCGAUCCGUAGCUGGUCUGGGAGGAGGAUCAGCCACAUUAGAACGUAGACAGGGACAAGACUCCUAAGGUAGGCAGCAGAGGGGAAUAUGGGACAAUGGGCGCAAGUCUUGUCCAGUCAUACGGCGUGUGUGAAGAAGGCGUUGGGGUUGUAAAGACCGUUUUUUGGGAAAGAAAAGCAGCAGGUUAAUACCCCGCUGUUCUGACGGUACUCAAAGAAUAAGCACCGGCUAACUUCGUG
RNAcentral lists this ribosomal RNA (492 nucleotides) under uncultured bacterium. RNAcentral's name for it is "partial 16S ribosomal RNA". It matches the Rfam family "Bacterial small subunit ribosomal RNA", at positions 29 to 507 of the family's 1533-position model. The record is from RNAcentral.